GACGUAGGGGACGAGCGUUGUCCGGAUUCAUUGGGCGUAAAGCGCGCGCAGGCGGUCGUGCAAGUCGCGUGUGAAAGCCCCCGGCUCAACUGGGGAGGGUCACGCGAUACUGCUCGACUCGAAGGCAGGAGAGGGAAGUGGAAUUCCCGGUGUAGUGGUGAAAUGCGUAGAUAUCGGGAGGAACACCAGUGGCGAAGGCGACUUCCUGGCCUGUUCUUGACGCUGAGGCGCGAAAGCUAGGGUAGCAAACGGG
RNAcentral lists this ribosomal RNA (253 nucleotides) under uncultured bacterium. Its description in RNAcentral is "partial 16S ribosomal RNA". It matches the Rfam family "Bacterial small subunit ribosomal RNA", at positions 524 to 776 of the family's 1533-position model. The record is from RNAcentral.